UACGUAGGGACCAAGCGUUGUUCGGAUUUACUGGGCGUAAAGGGCGCGUAGGCGGCGCGGUAAGUCACUUGUGAAAUCUCUGAGCUUAACUCAGAACGGCCAAGUGAUACUGCAGUGCUAGAGUGUGGAAGGGGCAAUCGGAAUUCUUGGUGUAGCGGUGAAAUGCGUAGAUAUCAAGAGGAACACCGGUGGCGAAGGCGGAUCUCUGGGCCAUUACUGACGCUGAGGAGCGAAAGCGUGGGGAGCGAACAGG
RNAcentral lists this ribosomal RNA (253 nucleotides) under uncultured bacterium. RNAcentral's name for it is "partial 16S ribosomal RNA". It matches the Rfam family "Bacterial small subunit ribosomal RNA", at positions 524 to 776 of the family's 1533-position model. The record is from RNAcentral.